Molecule: ribosomal RNA, 411 nt
Filed under: uncultured eukaryote
Lineage: Eukaryota
Description: SSU rRNA
Rfam family: Eukaryotic small subunit ribosomal RNA
Source: RNAcentral
CCAGCAGCCGCGGUAAUUCCAGCUCCAAUAGCGUAUAUUAAAGUUGUUGCAGUUAAAAAGCUCGUAGUUGGAUUUCUGGCAGGGCGCCGAUGCCCGCUUGUUGCGUGUGCAGAGCGCCCUACCAUCCUUCUGUUAACUCUAAUAGGCAUUGAUUUGUCUGUAGAGGGCUCAGAUAUUUUACCUUGAGAAAAUUAGAGUGUUUCAGGCAGGCUUGCGCCGGAAUACAUUAGCAUGGAAUAAUGGAAUAGGACUUGAACCUCUUCUGUUGGUCUGAGGGGUCGAAGUAAUGAUUAAUAGGGAUAGUUGGGGGCAUUAGUACUUAACUGUCAGAGGUGAAAUUCUCGGAUUUGUUAAAGACUAACUUAUGCGAAAGCAUUUGCCAAGGAUGUUUUCAUUAAUCAAGAACGAAAG